RNAcentral lists this long non-coding RNA (682 nucleotides) under Nicotiana benthamiana. RNAcentral's name for it is "long non-coding RNA (NBEN_LNC007345)". Lineage: Eukaryota; Viridiplantae; Streptophyta; Magnoliopsida; Solanales; Solanaceae. The record is from RNAcentral.
AGGAGUGUCUCUAAGGUAUCUCAAAACAUGCAGGGCAGCAGUCAUAUGUGGAAGUCUGGGGGAUUUUAGGAAUUGACUCAGAUGUUGAACAGCAAAGCAUAUGUCAGGCCUAGUAUGAGUCAGAACAUAUGUGGAAGUCUGGGGCAUUUUAGGAAUUGACUCAGAUGUUGAACAGCAAAGCAUAAGUCAGAAACAACAUCUUACCAACAAGACUCCUGUACCGGUCAGGAGAGGAUAAAAGGUCACCAGAAUCAGCAUGAAGUUUGACAUUAAUGUCCAAAGGAGAAACAACAGAGGAGACAUGUGCACAAUCAAACUGAUGCAGUAAAUCAGAGAUAUACUUAUGCUGAUUAAGGAUCAUACCACCAGGAACAACUGACAUUUCAAGGCCCAGAAAAUAAUGCAAAGAUCCUAGGUCUUUGAUUUUACACUAAUCAUCCAGAAAUAGUUUCAGGGAAGUAAUCUCAUCACUGUCAUCCCCAGUAAGGAUAAUAUCAUCUACAUAGACUGCCACAACCACAAGGGACCCAUGUUUACCUUUGAUGAACAAAGAAUAGCCAUUCAAAGAAUGUUUGUACCCUCUGGAAUAAAGAGCAGAAGACAAUUUGGCAUACCAUUGUCUGGAUGCUUGUCUCAGCCCAUAUAGAGAUUUCUUGAGCUUACAAACCAGAGGAGAAGAAGU